UCAUCCCUCCCACCCCCCACUGCCAACUAUCCACUGCCCACCUCUUCCUCUUUUAUCUACUGCCAUCCGCCACUACCUAUUGCUGCUGCAGCGACACAACCACCAACCACCAGAUCUGCUACAACGUCGUCGUAGUCGAGGCGGCGACCUCGUCUCCAGUCACGCACACAAAAAACACAGAUCUCUCUCCCUCUCCCUCCCCAUCUCUCUCGCCAGAAACGCGACUACUGCCUCCCCUCUAAAAGCCCCGUCCUUAUUCUUCCAUUUUGUUUCUUCUCUAUUCAUCGCAGAUCCACAUCACCUCCGAUUUCGAUACUCCAAUCUGGAGAUGGUAUUGGUGGAGGUUCAGUGAUUUUUGUUUUUACGGUGGUGAUUUCAUUUUGUUGAUGGUGUUUGUUUGUGGUAAUAUAGUAAUUUUUGUUAUGGUCGGAGUUAAUGAUGGAUAUGGGGCAGAAAUAGAGAUUGGAUGUAGUGAAUGAGAGAGAGCGUGUGAUGUAGAGAGAGAGAGAGAGGAGAUUGAGAGAGACAGUGAGGAAGCUGAUGAAUUGGAAAUGAUGAUUUUCUGUUGUGUUUUUUAUUUUUUCCGAAGGUGAUUUUGUUUUGUAUUUGGUGAUUUUUCGGAUUCGGGGGUGGCGGUGGUGGUUUGUAGCUGGUGUUGGUGUGGUGAUUUUAAUUUUCUGGCGUUGAUUUUUGAUUUUCUGGCGGUGAUUUCUUAUUUUCUGGUGGUGAUUUUAUGUUUCCGAUGGUGAUUUUAUGUUUGCCGGCGGUGAUUUUCUGGUGGUCGCCGGAGCUGGUGGUGGUGGUCAGCGGUGGUUGAAGGUGAUGGGUAGUUGAAUUAGAAGAUGGUGAAAUAUUAAAAUAUUAAAUGAAUGGUGAGAGAUGAAUAUAAUGUAUUUAAAUGAGUGGCUGAGAUUAGAUCUCAUAUCUCACUAUAAGAUUGGUUCUCACCGGAGCAUGACUCUAUAUAUA
Molecule: long non-coding RNA, 969 nt
Filed under: Daucus carota (carrot)
Lineage: Eukaryota; Viridiplantae; Streptophyta; Magnoliopsida; Apiales; Apiaceae
Description: long non-coding RNA (DCAR_LNC000488)
Source: RNAcentral